UCAGAUUGAACGCUGGCGGCAUGCCUUACACAUGCAAGUCGAACGGCAGCGCGGGAGCAAUCCUGGCGGCGAGUGGCGAACGGGUGAGUAAUAUAUCGGAACGUGCCCUAGAGUGGGGGAUAACUAGUCGAAAGAUUAGCUAAUACCGCAUACGAUCUAUGGAUGAAAGUGGGGGAUCGCAAGACCUCAUGCUCGUGGAGCGGCCGAUAUCUGAUUAGCUAGUUGGUGGGGUAAAAGCCUACCAAGGCCACGAUCAGUAGCUGGUCUGAGAGGACGACCAGCCACACUGGGACUGAGACACGGCCCAGACUCCUACGGGAGGCAGCAGUGGGGAAUUUUGGACAAUGGGCGCAAGCCUGAUCCAGCAAUGCCGCGUGUGUGAAGAAGGCCUUCGGGUUGUAAAGCACUUUUGUCAGGAACGAAACGGUCUGGGCUAAUAUCCCGGACUAAUGACG
This 455-nucleotide ribosomal RNA is filed under the name soil bacterium 04G-15. RNAcentral describes it as "bacterial SSU rRNA". It matches the Rfam family "Bacterial small subunit ribosomal RNA", at positions 24 to 474 of the family's 1533-position model. The record is from RNAcentral.